Molecule: ribosomal RNA, 485 nt
Filed under: uncultured bacterium
Lineage: Bacteria
Description: bacterial SSU rRNA
Rfam family: Bacterial small subunit ribosomal RNA
Source: RNAcentral
AUGAACGCUAGCGGCAGGCUUAAUACAUGCAAGUCGAGGGGCAGCAUGGGUAGCAAUACCUGAUGGCGACCGGCAAACGGGUGAGGAACACGUACGCAACUUCCCUAAAACUGGUGAAUAGCCCUCCGAAAGGAGGAUUAAUACACCGUAAGAUAACGAGAUGGCAUCAUUUUGUUAUUAUAGCUCCGGCGGUUUUAUGAUGGGCGUGCGCCUGAUUAGGUAGUUGGUAAGGUAACGGCUUACCAAGCCUACGAUCAGUAACUGGUGUGAGAGCACGACCAGUCACACGGGCACUGAGACACGGGCCCGACUCCUACGGGAGGCAGCAGUAAGGAAUAUUGGUCAAUGGACGAAAGUCUGAACCAGCCAUGCCGCGUGAAGGAUGAAGGUCCUCUGGAUUGUAAACUUCUUUUAUCUGGGACGAAAAAAGGCCAUUCUUGGCCACUUGACGGUACCAGAGGAAUAAGCACCGGCUAACUCCGGGC